AUUCCCACUGUCCCUAUCUACUUAUACUGCCUCGUGAUGCGUCACCUUGACGAGGUGAGGCGGCUUGCGUUCCUCAAUGACUCUCGAGGUUUGUUUGCGUCACAUGCUCCAAUGUACACCAGAGAGCACUUGGAUCACAGAUAAGAUGGCGGUUGGAUCAGAUGGGUUUAUGUGCACCAACGCUCAGUGACACGAACGGAUUUGAGCACUCCCUUCCCUUUCAAUCGCACAUCGUACAUCAUUGACCGAUUAGAAAAUCCUGUACCUUUGGCAGGAAUUGGUGAAUUGUUAGAAGACAAUGGGAACGACGAUGAAAUAGAAAAUAUUGCCAUUAACGCAAUCGUUGAAAUUGCAGAAGGUUUCGUUCAAAGAAUACAUAGGACAUGCAUAACCAAUUACAUUGAAAAUACAGUGCCUAUGU
Nylanderia fulva is the source of this 421-nucleotide non-coding RNA. Lineage: Eukaryota; Metazoa; Arthropoda; Insecta; Hymenoptera; Formicidae. The record is from RefSeq and is a predicted model, not a curated record.